This 3012-nucleotide long non-coding RNA is filed under the name Marmota monax (woodchuck). Lineage: Eukaryota; Metazoa; Chordata; Mammalia; Rodentia; Sciuridae. The record is from RNAcentral.
CACUCCCUCACCCAGGUGACGUGGGAGGGAUCUGAUCAACAGUGUUGCCAGGGGAAUCCCGACGGCAGGGGGCCCUGAUCACCCCCCACGGUGAUCAGGCAGAAACUCACCCCCCAGGAAGGAGAAAGGGCAGCGAGAUGGCACUGCAGGGACGGGUAUCCCUUGGAGUCAUGUGAUCUGGGAGUGUGUCUGGUCCUCUGGGCAACCUGAGGUCAGUAACUUUCUCUUUGGAGCGUCAGAUAUAAGCCAGGAUUUAUGGUUUGGGGAGCCCCUAUGCCCCAGAGGGGCAUCAAGUGAGGACCCAGGGAGGGGUGAGCAUCCUCGACCCCCAGGCUGGGCCCUGCUCUGUGGGAAGGCUUCCUCAUGCCCUGUCCCCACCGCCUAGUAGCCUCUGCCCUCUCCUUCCUGCUCAGGGCUGCAGCCUCCUAGUGAACUUGGAGCUCUGCUCUCCCACACCCCCUGCUGGGAACACCCUUCCUCCCUCCCUUUGCUCCCCUGUUCAUGUCCUUUUUCAGGAUCCUGCCCAGGCACCCCCUUUUCUUGGGGAGCUUCCCAGCCCCAGGGCAAAGCUGGGACUUCUGGUUGGUUUCCCCAGACCACUCAUACUUGCCACUGGCUACUCAUCAUCUGCCCAGUUCAGGGCCUAGUACCCCAAGGCACAAAUAAAUACCCCUAAAGUGUCUUUCUGCUGGUGACAGUAGAACAUCUCAGAGACUCCAUGAGGUUUCGUGGGAAGAGCCCCCAGAAGGAACUGGACUCAGUCCCCACUCCAUCUCUUACUCCAUCACUACAGGGGGAGGGGGUAGUCUUUGGUGAGCCCCUGCAGCCCACCCUUGCUAAGCCUCAGCUUGCUUUCUUCCUUUUUGGACUGAGGGUUGAACCCAGGGGUGUUUUACCACUGAGUUAUAUUCCCGAUCCUUUUUAUUUUUUAUUUUGAGACAGGGUCUCACUAAGUUGUUGAGGUUGACCUCAAACUUGCGAUCUUCCUGCCUCAGCCUCCUGAGUCACUGGGAUUAUAGGCGUAUGCCACCAUGCCUGGUGAGCCUCAGCUUUCUUACUUGCAAAGCCGGGAGGUUGCAAGAUUAGAGUGGGUAAACUGUGCAUGUGGCCCAGUGAGCAGGAGCCACUGAGAUGUAUCUCCAUUUCUGCCAGCAAGUCUAGGGCUCUUUGCAGUGCACUCCCAGGAACUGCAUCCAGGGAUGGUCUGCUGCUGAGAGGUGUAGGCCUAGGUUGGGCCAGGGUGCUGAGGAAGCUGGAGCUGCCCUCCGAAAUGUAUCCCCUAUCCCAAGUCUGGGUGAGCUAGGAGGAAGCCAGCAGAAGGUGGUGAGCUCUGUUGGUUGUUCACCAGAUACCACUGACUUUGAGCAGAAGCAUCAGAUGCUUGGGAGGCCCUGAGGCUGUCUGGGGCAGCCGGGCCUGGCUUGGGCACUGUGUGUUCUGUGUUCUGGGCUUCACAGGCAGGCCAGUGCAGCCCUGGUUCGUGGAAGCCUUGACUGAGAACAGCCUUAAGCUCUGACAAGGCACAUGCUGGGAUCUCAGGAGCCCAGAACCCAUUUUACCGCUUGGAGUGGGUCUAUGGGUCUGUGUGCUUCUGGUCGGUAUUUAAGAAGCUCAUAGUUUGCAUAGAGAAUAUACCAAGAAAAAGUUUGGUAGCUGGGGGUUAGGAGAAGGACUCUAACAUCAGAUGGCCGGUGUAAGUCCUGGCUGCACCCCUCACUAACCCAGUCUCUCCGUGCUGCACCUCUGUAGUGAGACCUAAUAGUUAAUAUGAGAACAAUGCCUGGAGCUCAGCACUGGCCCUUGCCUAGCGGAAGCUAUUAUCUGUGACCUCAAGCAAGUUACUCAGUUUCUCAGUGCCUCAGUUUCCUCAUCUGUGAAAUGGAACUUAUAACAGUAUUCACCUCACAACCUUAUUAUGAAGAUUCAAUGAACUAAUUUUUAGAGUGUGCUUAGAUUCUUAGAACACCACAAGCCCAAAGUGCCGGAUGUUAGCACCUGGCACAUAUUUUGAUCCAGCUAUGAGUGUGGGCAACAGCUGGCAUCUGCUCUCCUCGUCAGCUCCCUGACAUGCUCUACUGAAACAGCUGAGGUCCAGGCCCUGCUGACCUGUCCAUCGGCCAGAUUUGAAUCCCCACUCUACCAUUUCUUAAAACUUAUAAUAAGAGUUACUGUUCGGAAAAUUAAAUGAGAAAAUAAAUGCAAAAGAAUCUAGAAAGAUGCCCAGCAUAGAGUAAAUUUCCGUAAAUUCUCCUCUCACUGUUCCCAAUUCACAGAUGAGGAAAUUGAGGCUUUAGGAGGUUAUGAAACCUGCCUGAGCCUCCACACAUCACCAGUGGCAGAACCAAGACAGGAGCAGUUUCAACCUGAUCUGCUGAUGCCUUCCUGCCACCUUCCUGCCUGGACCCCAAUGCCCUAGGGUCCUGGCUCCUGCGGGGUGCUGGGAAGAGCUGCUUGAAAUUGGAUGGACAGACCAAGAUGACUCAGUCAGGAGGUGCCAGAGACAGCCUGGAACCUAGGGCUCAGCUCUGUGGGACAAGCCGUGCGUGAUGCCAUCAGAUCAAGAGCCUUUGUACAUGGCGGGCUGUGCCCCUCUUGGCCCAAUGGUUUCCUCCAUUCUGAAGCCAGGACACAGGGACUUCCACCAUCAUUCCGAGAGAAGCUGUUGGUCCCACCUUGGUGCCUUAUUUAAUAACUCCUCUGCUGGCCUCUCCCACUUCCCCUCCAAUAUGCUGAGCCCCCAGCCCAGGCACCAUGGGCUCUUCCAUCCUCUACGCAUUGCACAUGCUGUUCCCAGUGGCUGGGAUGCCACUCCAGCUCCUCUGCCUGAUGAGUGUCCUCUCAGCCUUAGACUCCCUCUGUCCUCCUCCAGCUCUUACACAAUUGUCACUCAUUUCAACCCCGUCUUGGUCCCUUCAGUGUCGAGAGGAGAGCACUCGUUUAUCUCCACGCACAUCUCCACUCACCCAGGAGAUCCACUGUCACCCCCCGGGAUGCUUGAGAUCUACUUGUCAC